GACGAACGCUGGCGGCGUGCCUAAUACAUGCAAGUAGAACGCACAGUUUAUACCGUAGCUUGCUACACCAUAGACUGUGAGUUGCGAACGGGUGAGUAACGCGUAGGUAACCUGCCUGGUAGCGGGGGAUAACUAUUGGAAACGAUAGCUAAUACCUCAUAAUAUUAAUUAUUGCAUGAUAAUUAAUUGAAAUGUGCAAUUGCAUCACUACCUGAUGGCCCUGCGUUGUAUUAGCUAGUAGGUGAGGUAACGGCUCACCUAGGCGACGAUACAUAGCCGACAUGAGAGGGUGAUUGGCCACACUGGGACUGAGACACGGCCCAGACUCCUACGGGAGGCAGCAGUAGGGAAACUUCGGGAAUAGACGAAAGUCUGACCGAGCAACGCCGCGGGAGUGAAGAAGGUUUUCGGAUCGGAAAGCUCUGUUGUAAGAGAAGAAAGGGUGUGAGAGUGGAAAGUUCACACUGUGACGGUAUCUUACCAGAAAGGGACGGCUAACUACGUG
This 505-nucleotide ribosomal RNA is filed under the name uncultured bacterium. RNAcentral describes it as "partial 16S ribosomal RNA". It matches the Rfam family "Bacterial small subunit ribosomal RNA", at positions 28 to 507 of the family's 1533-position model. The record is from RNAcentral.